This 324-nucleotide ribosomal RNA is filed under the name uncultured bacterium. Its description in RNAcentral is "bacterial SSU rRNA". It matches the Rfam family "Bacterial small subunit ribosomal RNA", at positions 28 to 369 of the family's 1533-position model. The record is from RNAcentral.
GAUGAACGCUAGCGGCAGGCUUAAUACAUGCAAGUCAAGGGGUCAGCAAUGACACCGGCGGACGGGUGAGUAACGCGUACACAACGUACCUUUAACUGGGGGAUAGCAUUUGGAAACGAGUGGUAAUACCGCAUGUGGUUGUAGGGAGGCAUCUUUUGCAACUAAAACUCAGGUGGUUAAAGAUCGGUGUGCGUCCGAUUAGCUUGUUGGUGAGGUAAUGGCUCACCAAGGCGACGAUCGGUAGGGGCGUGAGAGCGUGAACCCCCACACGGGUACGUGAGACACGACCGACUCUACGGGAGGCAGCAGUAAGGAAUAUUGGUC